This 107-nucleotide small nuclear RNA is filed under the name Neotoma lepida (desert woodrat). The record is from RNAcentral. Lineage: Eukaryota; Metazoa; Chordata; Mammalia; Rodentia; Cricetidae.
GUGCUUGCUUCGGCAGCACAUAGACUAAAAUUGGAANGAUACAGAGAAGAUUAGCAUGGCCCCUGCCCAAGGAUGACACGCAAGUUCGUGAAGCAUUCCAUAUUUUU